This is a non-coding RNA of Mycena polygramma, 93 nucleotides long. NCBI's taxonomy places the organism in Eukaryota, Fungi, Basidiomycota, Agaricomycetes, Agaricales, Mycenaceae. The record is from the annotation of a GenBank genome assembly.
GGCCUGGUGGUGUAGUGGUUACACAUCUGCUCUCAAUUCGCGUACUGAGAAGAGGCUAUGCAGAGGUUCCUCGUUCGAAUUGGGGCCAGGUCG